RNAcentral lists this non-coding RNA (166 nucleotides) under Clostridium polynesiense. The record is from RNAcentral. Lineage: Bacteria; Bacillati; Bacillota; Clostridia; Eubacteriales; Clostridiaceae.
CAUAGUGAGGUGGAAUCUGAAGGAAGUUUAAGGCAAACUUCCGGUCUGACGAACAGAAAUCUCAUAAGGCAUGUGUAUGUCGGGUAAGGUUGUUUAACAAGCCAAAGCCCUAAACUAUCCGGAGACAUACAGUGUAAAUGAGGCAGACAUAUGGAAGGAAAGAUUG